UGCCAGCCGCCGCGGUAAUACGAAGGUGGCAAACGUUGCUCGGAAUCACUGGGCAUAAAGCGCGCGUAGGUGGCCGGGAAGGUCAUCGGUGAAAUCCAACGGCUCAACCGUUGAACUGCCGAUGAAACCGCCUGGCUUGAGGACGGGAGGGGAGAGUGGAACUCUUGGUGUAGCGGUGAAAUGCGUAGAUAUCAAGAGGAACGCCGGUGGCGAAAGCGACUCUCUGGACCGUUCCUGACACUGAGGUGCGAAAGCUAGGGGAGCAAACAGGAUUAGAUA
Molecule: ribosomal RNA, 279 nt
Filed under: uncultured bacterium
Lineage: Bacteria
Description: partial 16S ribosomal RNA
Rfam family: Bacterial small subunit ribosomal RNA
Source: RNAcentral